UACGGAGGGUGCAAGCGUUAAUCGGAAUUACUGGGCGUAAAGCGCACGCAGGUGGCUGAGUCAGUCGAUUGUGAAAGCCCUGGGCUUAACCUGGGAAUUGCAGUCGAUACUACUCAGCUAGAGUAUGGGAGAGGGUAGUGGAAUUCCCGGUGUAGCGGUGAAAUGCGUAGAUAUGCGGAGGAACACCGAUGGCGAAGGCAAUCCCCUGGGCCUGCACUGACGCUCAUGCACGAAAGCGUGGGGAGCAAACAGG
Molecule: ribosomal RNA, 253 nt
Filed under: uncultured bacterium
Lineage: Bacteria
Description: partial 16S ribosomal RNA
Rfam family: Bacterial small subunit ribosomal RNA
Source: RNAcentral